ACGCUGGCGGCAGGCCUAACACAUGCAAGUCGAACGGUAGCACAGAGAGCUUGCUCUCGGGUGACGAGUGGCGGACGGGUGAGUAAUGUCUGGGAAACUGCCUGAUGGAGGGGGAUAACUACUGGAAACGGUAGCUAAUACCGCAUAACGUCGCAAGACCAAAGAGGGGGACCUUCGGGCCUCUUGCCAUCAGAUGUGCCCAGAUGGGAUUAGCUAGUAGGUGGGGUAACGGCUCACCUAGGCGACGAUCCCUAGCUGGUCUGAGAGGAUGACCAGCCACACUGGAACUGAGACACGGUCCAGACUCCUACGGGAGGCAGCAGUGGGGAAUAUUGCACAAUGGGCGCAAGCCUGAUGCAGCCAUGCCGCGUGUAUGAAGAAGGCCUUCGGGUUGUAAAGUACUUUCAGCGGGGAGGAAGGUGAUGAGGUUAAUAACCUUGUCAAUUGACGUUACCCGCAGAAGAAGCACCGGCUAACUCCGUGCCAGCCGCCGCGGUAAUU
Molecule: ribosomal RNA, 501 nt
Filed under: Klebsiella oxytoca
Lineage: Bacteria; Pseudomonadati; Pseudomonadota; Gammaproteobacteria; Enterobacterales; Enterobacteriaceae
Description: bacterial SSU rRNA
Rfam family: Bacterial small subunit ribosomal RNA
Source: RNAcentral